UACGUAGGGCGCAAGCGUUGUCCGGAAUUAUUGGGCGUAAAGAGCUCGUAGGCGGUCUGUUACGUCCGCUGUGAAAACCCAGGGCUUAACCCUGGGCUUGCAGUGGAUACGGGUAGACUAGAGGCAGGUAGGGGAGAAUGGAAUUCCUGGUGUAGCGGUGAAAUGCGCAGAUAUCAGGAGGAACACCGGUGGCGAAGGCGGGUCUCUGGGCCGAUACUGACGCUGAGGAGCGAAAGCGUGGGGAGCGAACAGG
RNAcentral lists this ribosomal RNA (253 nucleotides) under uncultured bacterium. RNAcentral describes it as "partial 16S ribosomal RNA". It matches the Rfam family "Bacterial small subunit ribosomal RNA", at positions 524 to 776 of the family's 1533-position model. The record is from RNAcentral.